This 1238-nucleotide ribosomal RNA is filed under the name Staphylococcus aureus. RNAcentral describes it as "bacterial SSU rRNA". It matches the Rfam family "Bacterial small subunit ribosomal RNA", at positions 218 to 1446 of the family's 1533-position model. The record is from RNAcentral. Lineage: Bacteria; Bacillati; Bacillota; Bacilli; Caryophanales; Staphylococcaceae.
CUUAUAGAUGGAUCCGCGCUGCAUUAGCUAGUUGGUAAGGUAACGGCUUACCAAGGCAACGAUGCAUAGCCGACCUGAGAGGGUGAUCGGCCACACUGGAACUGAGACACGGUCCAGACUCCUACGGGAGGCAGCAGUAGGGAAUCUUCCGCAAUGGGCGAAAGCCUGACGGAGCAACGCCGCGUGAGUGAUGAAGGUCUUCGGAUCGUAAAACUCUGUUAUUAGGGAAGAACAUAUGUGUAAGUAACUGUGCACAUCUUGACGGUACCUAAUCAGAAAGCCACGGCUAACUACGUGCCAGCAGCCGCGGUAAUACGUAGGUGGCAAGCGUUAUCCGGAAUUAUUGGGCGUAAAGCGCGCGUAGGCGGUUUUUUAAGUCUGAUGUGAAAGCCCACGGCUCAACCGUGGAGGGUCAUUGGAAACUGGAAAACUUGAGUGCAGAAGAGGAAAGUGGAAUUCCAUGUGUAGCGGUGAAAUGCGCAGAGAUAUGGAGGAACACCAGUGGCGAAGGCGACUUUCUGGUCUGUAACUGACGCUGAUGUGCGAAAGCGUGGGGAUCAAACAGGAUUAGAUACCCUGGUAGUCCACGCCGUAAACGAUGAGUGCUAAGUGUUAGGGGGUUUCCGCCCCUUAGUGCUGCAGCUAACGCAUUAAGCACUCCGCCUGGGGAGUACGACCGCAAGGUUGAAACUCAAAGGAAUUGACGGGGACCCGCACAAGCGGUGGAGCAUGUGGUUUAAUUCGAAGCAACGCGAAGAACCUUACCAAAUCUUGACAUCCUUUGACAACUCUAGAGAUAGAGCCUUCCCCUUCGGGGGACAAAGUGACAGGUGGUGCAUGGUUGUCGUCAGCUCGUGUCGUGAGAUGUUGGGUUAAGUCCCGCAACGAGCGCAACCCUUAAGCUUAGUUGCCAUCAUUAAGUUGGGCACUCUAAGUUGACUGCCGGUGACAAACCGGAGGAAGGUGGGGAUGACGUCAAAUCAUCAUGCCCCUUAUGAUUUGGGCUACACACGUGCUACAAUGGACAAUACAAAGGGCAGCGAAACCGCGAGGUCAAGCAAAUCCCAUAAAGUUGUUCUCAGUUCGGAUUGUAGUCUGCAACUCGACUACAUGAAGCUGGAAUCGCUAGUAAUCGUAGAUCAGCAUGCUACGGUGAAUACGUUCCCGGGUCUUGUACACACCGCCCGUCACACCACGAGAGUUUGUAACACCCGAAGCCGGUGGAGUAACCUUUUAGG